UAAAGAUAAUGUCCAAUUUAUUUGUUUCAGCUCUGUUAUUAAAAAAGAAAGCAGAAGUCGUAUGAACAUUCCUUUUAGAAUAGGUGGACCUGGUGGCAAUGAUGAGUUAGAAAAGAAAUUCUUAGAUCUUGCAAAAGCCCAUAAUAUGCUUUCUUUGAAAGGUCACAGGUCUGUUGGUGGAAUACGGAUUUCACUUUUCAAUGCUGUAACACUGGAUGAAACUAAGCAAUUAGUUGAAGUGUUAAAGAAAUUUUUAAAAGACUAUCAGUCUUAAAAAAAUAUUAAAAAAUUCAAUAUAUAGCAUUAUGUUUAAAUCUAAGAAUUAUUUUAUUUUAAUAGUUCUCUAAAACAUCUAAAAUUUUAUAUUUUUAUGCAUAAUUUCAAUUUUUAUAUAUGUAUUUACAGCUUUACUCUUAUGAUCAGAACUUAUUUUUUGCUUUGUAUGCAUUCCAUUUAUAUUCAGAGAUUUAAGAAGAGUAUUUUCUGAUACUUUUCCUCUGAAGUUAUUCAUCAUUUUCUUCAGAAACUAAAUUUUUUAGUCAUACACUUAUGAAAAAAAUUUAAUCCUCAUUAUAAGGUGCACAAUUUUAUCACAAUUAAAAAAAAAGAAUGAAAAAAAUUAUACAGAAUUAAAUCAAGGUAAAAUUAAGGAUGUAUUGUUAUAAAAUAUAUCUAUUGUUCCAAGUAAAUCAUUGUUACUGGUUAUAUGAAGAAUUUAUAUGAACUGCCUGCAGUUUCACUUGAAAGCUUUCUUCCCCAAAUUCUUGCUAUUAAAUAAAAAUAUUUCAUUUUC
Molecule: long non-coding RNA, 793 nt
Organism: Stegodyphus dumicola
Lineage: Eukaryota; Metazoa; Arthropoda; Arachnida; Araneae; Eresidae
Source: RefSeq, a predicted model, not a curated record